GCCCGGAUGGCUUAGUUGGUAGAGCGUGCGACUUUUGAUCUCAGGGUUGUGGGUUUGAGCCCCAUGUUGGGCA
Molecule: non-coding RNA, 73 nt
Organism: Callorhinus ursinus (northern fur seal)
Lineage: Eukaryota; Metazoa; Chordata; Mammalia; Carnivora; Otariidae
Source: the annotation of a RefSeq genome assembly